This 254-nucleotide ribosomal RNA is filed under the name uncultured bacterium. Its description in RNAcentral is "partial 16S ribosomal RNA". It matches the Rfam family "Bacterial small subunit ribosomal RNA", at positions 524 to 776 of the family's 1533-position model. The record is from RNAcentral.
CACGUAGGGCGCAAGCGUUGUCCGGAAUUAUUGGGCGUAAAGAGCUCGUAGGCGGUGUGUCACGUCGGCCGUGAAAACCUGCAGCUUAACUGUGGGCGUGCGGUCGAUACGGGCAUCACUGGAGUUCGGCAGGGGAGACUGGAAUUCCUGGUGUAGCGGUGAAAUGCGCAGAUAUCAGGAGGAACACCGAUGGCGAAGGCAGGUCUCUGGGCAUUAACUGACGCUGAGGAGCGAAAGCAUGGGGAGCGAACAGG